RNAcentral lists this ribosomal RNA (569 nucleotides) under uncultured bacterium. Its description in RNAcentral is "partial 16S ribosomal RNA". It matches the Rfam family "Bacterial small subunit ribosomal RNA", at positions 355 to 1376 of the family's 1533-position model. The record is from RNAcentral.
UGGGGAAUAUUGCACAAUGGGCGAAAGCCUGAUGCAGCAACGCCGCGUGCGGGAUGACGGCCUUCGGGUUGUAAACCGCUUUCAGCAGGGACGAAGGUUUUCUGACGGUACCUGCAGAAGAAGCACCGGCUAACUACGUGCCAGCAGCCGCGGUGAUACGUAGGGUGCGAGCGUUGUCCGGAAUUAUUGGGCGUAAAGAGCUUGUAGGCGGUCCGUUGCGUCGGAAGUGAAAACUCAGGGCUUAACCCUGAGCCUGCUUUCGAUACGGGCGGACUUGAGGGAUGUAGGGGAGAACGGAAUUCCUGGUGGAGCGGUGGAAUGCGCAGAUAUCAGGAGGAACACCAGCGGCGAAGGCGGUUCUCUGGACAUUUCCUGACGCUGAGAAGCGAAAGCGUGGGGAGCAAACAGGCUUAGAUACCCUGGUAGUCCACGCCGUAAACGGUGGGCACUAGGUGUGGGACCCAUUCCACGGGUUCCGUGCCGUAGCUAACGCAUUAAGUGCCCCGCCUGGGGAGUACGGCCGCAAGGCUAAAACUCAAAUGAAUUGACGGGGUCAUAGCUGUUUCCUG